This 243-nucleotide long non-coding RNA is filed under the name Gossypium raimondii (Peruvian cotton). RNAcentral's name for it is "long non-coding RNA (GRAI_LNC011183)". Lineage: Eukaryota; Viridiplantae; Streptophyta; Magnoliopsida; Malvales; Malvaceae. The record is from RNAcentral.
CCAUAAGGCUCUAUGAAAGAAACCUGAUACCAAAGAGGGUUUUUCGCAGACAAGAUGAAAGGGAGAAAUCUUGUUUAUAAAAACAUUGAUUCUGAUCAAAAGGGUUCAGAUUCAAAAAAAAAUCAAAAUCAAAAUCACAAUCAAAAUCAAAAUCAAAAUAAAACAAAGAAAGAAAAGAGAAAAAUCAAAGCAAAAGAGAAAUCAAUCAAAGUCAAAAUAAAACAUGAAAAGAGAAAAAAGAAA